GACGAACGCUGGCGGCGUGCUUAACACAUGCAAGUCGAACGGAAAGGCCCUGCUUUUGUGGGGUGCUCGAGUGGCGAACGGGUGAGUAACACGUGAGUAACCUGCUCUUGACUUUGGGAUAACUUCAGGAAACUGGGGCUAAUACCGGAUAGGAGCUCCUGCUGCAUGGUGGGGGUUGGAAAGUUUCGGCGGUUGGGGAUGGACUGGCGGCUUAUCAGCUUGUUGGUGGGGUAGUGGCUUACCAAGGCUUUGACGGGUAGCCGGCCUGAGAGGGUGACCGGCCACAUUGGGACUGAGAUACGGCCCAGACUCCUACGGGAGGCAGCAGUGGGGAAUAUUGCACAAUGGGCGGAAGCCUGAUGCAGCAACGCCGCGUGCGGGAUGACGGCCUUCGGGUUGUAAACCGCUUUCGCCUGUGACGAAGCGUGAGUGACGGUAAUGGGUAAAGAAGCACCGGCUAACUACGUG
Molecule: ribosomal RNA, 468 nt
Filed under: uncultured bacterium
Lineage: Bacteria
Description: partial 16S ribosomal RNA
Rfam family: Bacterial small subunit ribosomal RNA
Source: RNAcentral